UACGUAGGGUGCGAGCGUGUCCGGAAUUAUUGGGCGUAAAGAGCUCGUAGGCGGUCUGUCGCGUCUGCUGUGAAAUCCCGAGGCUCAACCUCGGGCUUGCAGUGGGUACGGGCAGGCUAGAGUGCGGCAGGGGAGAAUGGAACUCCUGGUGUAGCGGUGGAAUGCGCAGAUAUCAGGAAGAACGACCGAUGGCGGAAGGCAGUUCUCUGG
Molecule: ribosomal RNA, 210 nt
Filed under: uncultured bacterium
Lineage: Bacteria
Description: partial 16S ribosomal RNA
Rfam family: Bacterial small subunit ribosomal RNA
Source: RNAcentral